GGCCGCCACAGUGCAGCCGCGGGCUGAAGGGCUCCUCAAGCACGGCCAGACUGGAGGCGGAGAGCGAGUGAGGGCUGCUAGUACAUUGUCACCUCUCACCCUCAGAAGGCUGAGCUGGUGGGGGCUGAGUUCUGUUACGUGUGACAGCAACGUCUAGGCCAAGCUUGUCCAACUUGCGGCCCACCAGCUGCAUACAACUCUGGACGGCUUUGAAUGCAGCCCAACACAAAUUCGUAAACUUUCUUAAAACAUAGUGCGUUUUUUUUGUUUUUUUUUUUUUGUUUUUUUAAGCUCAUCAGCUAUCAUUAACGUCAGUGUAUUUUACGUGUGGCCAAAGGCAAUUCUUCCAUUGUGGCCCAGGGAAACCAAACUGAAAGAUUGGACGCUCCUGGUCUAGGCUCUCGAUUGCUGAACUCGUUUCCUCUCAGCUGUUGAUUCCCGACAUUUGAGGACUUUUUCUGUCCCCUCUGCUCUUCCUGCCCAAGAGGCAAUAUCUGCCUUUCCCCACAAGGGUGCGUUCAUUCAGGCAACAGACAGGGUCCUUCUCUCUCUCCCAGGCUGGAAUGCAGUGGCAUGAUCUUGGCUCACUGCAGCCUCAACCUCCUGGACUCAAGUAAUCCUCCUGCCUCAGCCUCCCCAGAAGCUGGGACUACAGGUGAG
Molecule: long non-coding RNA, 660 nt
Filed under: Homo sapiens (human)
Lineage: Eukaryota; Metazoa; Chordata; Mammalia; Primates; Hominidae
Description: HSALNT0172313
Source: RNAcentral